RNAcentral lists this ribosomal RNA (365 nucleotides) under uncultured bacterium. RNAcentral's name for it is "bacterial SSU rRNA". It matches the Rfam family "Bacterial small subunit ribosomal RNA", at positions 434 to 793 of the family's 1533-position model. The record is from RNAcentral.
CUAGCAGUGAGGAAGGUGGAGUAUGUUAAUAGCAUAUUCAUUUGACGUUAGCUGCAGAAGAAGCACCGGCUAACUCCGUGCCAGCAGCCGCGGUAAUACGGAGGGUGCGAGCGUUAAUCGGAAUUACUGGGCGUAAAGCGCAUGCAGGUGGUUUGUUAAGUCAGAUGUGAAAGCCCGGGGCUCAACCUCGGAAUUGCAUUUGAAACUGGCAAACUAGAGUACUGUAGAGGGGGUAGAAUUUCAGGUGUAGCGGUGAAAUGCGUAGAGAUCUGAAGGAAUACCGGUGGCGAAGGCGGCCCCCUGGACAGAUACUGACACUCAGAUGCGAAAGCGUGGGGAGCAAACAGGAUUAGAUACCCUGGUAG